Molecule: ribosomal RNA, 250 nt
Filed under: uncultured bacterium
Lineage: Bacteria
Description: partial 16S ribosomal RNA
Rfam family: Bacterial small subunit ribosomal RNA
Source: RNAcentral
UACAGAGGGUGCAAGCGUUAAUCGGAAUUACUGGGCGUAAAGGGUGUGUAGGUGGUAAUGUAAGUUAGGUGUGAAAUCCUCGGGCUUAACCUGAGAAUUGCGCUUAAUACUGCAUUUCUAGAGUACUGCAGAGGGCAGUGGAAUUUCCAGUGUAGCGGUGAAAUGCGUAGAUAUUGGAAGGAACACCAGUGGCGAAGGCGACUGCCUGGAUAGAUACUGACACUGAGACACGAAAGCGUGGGUAGCAAAC